UAAUACAGAGGCCUCGAGCGUUAGGCGGAAUCACUGGGCUUAAAGCGUGUGUAGGCGGAUGUCUAAGUACCUUGUGAAAUCCCACGGCUUAACCGUGGAACGGCUUGGUAUACUGGAUGUCUUGAGCCAACUAGGGGCUACCGGAACAAAUGGUGGAGCGGUGAAAUGCGUAGAUAUCAUUUGGAACGCCAACGGUGAAAACAGGUAGCUGGGGUUGCGCUGACGCUGAGACACGAAAGCCAGGGGAGCGAACGGGAUUAGAUACCCCGGUAGUCCUGGCCGUAAACGAUGUCCACUAGAUCGCAGUCCCUUGACGGGGUUGCGGUCGCAGCAAAAGUGCUAAGUGGACCGCCUGGGAAGUACGGUCGCAAGGCUA
This 376-nucleotide ribosomal RNA is filed under the name uncultured bacterium. Its description in RNAcentral is "bacterial SSU rRNA". It matches the Rfam family "Bacterial small subunit ribosomal RNA", at positions 521 to 896 of the family's 1533-position model. The record is from RNAcentral.